GCCAGCGUAGCUCAAUGGUAGAGCGUCAGGCUUUUAGUCCUCGUCAGAAAUGUCGAAAUGGUAUGGAACCUGAAUGUUGCGGGUUCGACCCCCGCCGUUGGCU
RNAcentral lists this transfer RNA (103 nucleotides) under Penicillium expansum. It matches the Rfam family "tRNA". Rfam says of the family: Transfer RNA (tRNA) molecules are approximately 80 nucleotides in length. Their secondary structure includes four short double-helical elements and three loops (D, anti-codon, and T loops). The record is from Rfam by way of RNAcentral. Lineage: Eukaryota; Fungi; Ascomycota; Eurotiomycetes; Eurotiales; Aspergillaceae.